CACUCCUACGGGAGGCAGCAGUGGGGAAUUUUGGACCAUGGGCGAAAGCCUGAUCCAGCAAUGCCGCGUGAGUGAAGAAGGCCUUCGGGUUGUAAAGCUCUUUUGUCAGGGAAGAAACGGUGAAAGCUAAUAUCUUUUGCUAAUGACGGUACCUGAAGAAUAAGCACCGGCUAACUACGUGCCAGCAGCCGCGGUAAUACGUAGGGUGCAAGCGUUAAUCGGAAUUACUGGGCGUAAAGCGUGCGCAGGCGGUUUUGUAAGUCUGAUGUGAAAUCCCCGGGCUCAACCUGGGAAUUGCAUUGGAGACUGCAAGGCUAGAAUCUGGCAGAGGGGGGUAGAAUUCCACGUGUAGCAGUGAAAUGCGUAGAUAUGUGGAGGAACACCGAUGGCGAAGGCAGCCCCCUGGGUCAAGAUUGACGCUCAUGCACGAAAGCGUGGGGAGCAAACAGGAUUAGAUACCCGUGUAGUCCCAUGAU
RNAcentral lists this ribosomal RNA (476 nucleotides) under uncultured organism. Its description in RNAcentral is "partial 16S ribosomal RNA". It matches the Rfam family "Bacterial small subunit ribosomal RNA", at positions 334 to 801 of the family's 1533-position model. The record is from RNAcentral.